GGGCCCGUAGUCUAGCGGCUAGGAUGCCCGCCUUACAUGGCGCCCGCGCCGACAACGCCUAGGUGCGCGGGAGAUCCCGGGUUCGAAUCCCGGCGGGCCCA
Molecule: transfer RNA, 101 nt
Filed under: Thermoproteus tenax Kra 1
Lineage: Archaea; Thermoproteati; Thermoproteota; Thermoprotei; Thermoproteales; Thermoproteaceae
Rfam family: tRNA
About the family: Transfer RNA (tRNA) molecules are approximately 80 nucleotides in length.
Source: Rfam by way of RNAcentral